Molecule: ribosomal RNA, 468 nt
Filed under: uncultured bacterium
Lineage: Bacteria
Description: partial 16S ribosomal RNA
Rfam family: Bacterial small subunit ribosomal RNA
Source: RNAcentral
GACGAACGCUGGCGGCGUGCUUAACACAUGCAAGUCGAACGGAAAGGCCCUGCUUUUGUGGGGUGCUCGAGUGGCGAACGGGUGAGUAACACGUGAGUAACCUGCCCUUGACUUUGGGAUAACUUCAGGAAACUGGGGCUAAUACCGGAUAGGAGCUCCUGCUGCAUGGUGGGGGUUGGAAAGUUUCGGCGGUUGGGGAUGGACUCGCGGCUUAUCAGCUUGAUGGUGGGGUAAUGGCUUACCAAGGCUUUGACGGGUAGCCGGCCUGAGAGGGUGACCGGCCACAUUGGGACUGAGAUACGGCCCAGACUCCUACGGGAGGCAGCAGUGGGGAAUAUUGCACAAUGGGCGGAAGCCUGAUGCAGCAACGCCGCGUGCGGGAUGACGGCCUUCGGGUUGUAAACCGCUUUCGCCUGUGACGAAGCGUGAGUGACGGUAAUGGGUAAAGAAGCACCGGCUAACUACGUG